This 428-nucleotide ribosomal RNA is filed under the name uncultured bacterium. RNAcentral describes it as "bacterial SSU rRNA". It matches the Rfam family "Bacterial small subunit ribosomal RNA", at positions 355 to 775 of the family's 1533-position model. The record is from RNAcentral.
UGGGGAAUAUUGGACAAUGGGCGCAAGCCUGAUCCAGCAACGCCGCGUGGAGGAUGAAGGUCUUCGGAUCGUAAACUCCUGUCAGACGGGACGAAGGCGGCCGGGUGAACAAUCCGGCUGCUUGACGGUACCGUCAGAGGAAGCCCCGGCUAACUCCGUGCCAGCAGCCGCGGUAAUACGGAGGGGGCUAGCGUUAUUCGGAAUUAUUGGGCGUAAAGGGCGCGUAGGCGGCUUGAUAAGUCAAAGGUGAAAUCCCUCGGCUCAACUGAGGAACUGCCUUUGAAACUAUCGAGCUUGAGGCCGGGAGGGGGUAGCGGAAUUCCCAGUGUAGCGGUGAAAUGCGUAGAUACUGGGAGGAACACCGGUGGCGAAGGCGGCUACCUGGACCGGUUCUGACGCUGAGGCGCGAAAGCGUGGGUAGCAAACAG